GGUGAGUAAUGUCUGGGAAACUGCCUGAUGGAGGGGGAUAACUACUGGAAACGGUAGCUAAUACCGCAUAACGUCGCAAGACCAAAGAGGGGGACCUUCGGGCCUCUUGCCAUCGGAUGUGCCCAGAUGGGAUUAGCUAGUAGGUGGGGUAACGGCUCACCUAGGCGACGAUCCCUAGCUGGUCUGAGAGGAUGACCAGCCACACUGGAACUGAGACACGGUCCAGACUCCUACGGGAGGCAGCAGUGGGGAAUAUUG
Molecule: ribosomal RNA, 258 nt
Filed under: Escherichia coli
Lineage: Bacteria; Pseudomonadati; Pseudomonadota; Gammaproteobacteria; Enterobacterales; Enterobacteriaceae
Description: partial 16S ribosomal RNA
Rfam family: Bacterial small subunit ribosomal RNA
Source: RNAcentral